CGAGUGGCGAACGGGUGAGUAAUAUAUCGGAACGUACCCGGAAAUGGGGGAUAACGUAGCGAAAGUUACGCUAAUACCGCAUAUGCCCUGAGGGGGAAAGCGGGGGAUUCGUAAGAGCCUCGCGUUUUCGGAGCGGCCGAUAUCGGAUUAGCUAGUAGGUGAGGUAAAGGCUCACCUAGGCGACGAUCCGUAGCUGGUCUGAGAGGACGACCAGCCACACUGGAACUGAGACACGGUCCAG
Molecule: ribosomal RNA, 241 nt
Filed under: uncultured bacterium
Lineage: Bacteria
Description: partial 16S ribosomal RNA
Rfam family: Bacterial small subunit ribosomal RNA
Source: RNAcentral